CAGAGGAGCCAAGCGUUGUCCGGAUUGACUGGGCGUAAAGCGCACGCAGGCGGCACCGCGCGUGGGGUGUGAAAUCUGGCCGCUUAACGGCCAGGCGCCAUCCCAUACGGCGGAGCUGGAGCGAUGCAGAGGUCGGUGGAAUUGCCGGUGUAGUGGUGAAAUGCGUAGAGAUCGGCAGGAACACCCAGGGGGAAACCAGCCGACUGGGCAUCUGCUGACGCUGAGGUGCGAGAGCGUGGGGAGCGAACCGGAUUAGAUACCCGGGUAGUCCACGCCGUAAACGAUGGCCACUCGGCCUUUGGCGGCGGAAUCUCCGUCGCUGGGGGCCUUAGCUAACGCGGGAAGUGGCCCGCCUGGGAACUACGAGCGCAAGCUUA
RNAcentral lists this ribosomal RNA (377 nucleotides) under uncultured organism. RNAcentral describes it as "bacterial SSU rRNA". It matches the Rfam family "Bacterial small subunit ribosomal RNA", at positions 526 to 896 of the family's 1533-position model. The record is from RNAcentral.